CCUACGGGUGGCAGCAGUGAGGAAUAUUGGUCAAUGGACGAGAGUCUGAACCAGCCAAGUAGCGUGAAGGAUGACUGCCCUAUGGGUUGUAAACUUCUUUUAUAUGGGAAUAAAAUGUUCCACGUGUGGGAUUUUGUAUGUACCAUAUGAAUAAGGAUCGGCUAACUCCGUGCCAGCAGCCGCGGUAAUACGGAGGAUCCGAGCGUUAUCCGGAUUUAUUGGGUUUAAAGGGAGCGUAGGUGGAUUGUUAAGUCAGUUGUGAAAGUUUUCGGCUCAACCGUAAAAUUGCAGUUGAAACUGGCAGUCUUGAGUACAGUAGAGGUGGGCGGAAUUCGUGGUGUAGCGGUGAAAUGCUUAGAUAUCACGAAGAACUCCGAUUGCGAAGGCAGUUCACUGGACUGCAACUGACACUGAGGCUCGAAAGUGUGGGUAUCAAACAGGAUUAGAUACCCGAGUAGUC
RNAcentral lists this ribosomal RNA (460 nucleotides) under uncultured bacterium. RNAcentral describes it as "partial 16S ribosomal RNA". It matches the Rfam family "Bacterial small subunit ribosomal RNA", at positions 338 to 795 of the family's 1533-position model. The record is from RNAcentral.